This 1677-nucleotide long non-coding RNA is filed under the name Mytilus galloprovincialis (Mediterranean mussel). Lineage: Eukaryota; Metazoa; Mollusca; Bivalvia; Mytilida; Mytilidae. The record is from RNAcentral.
CCAGGAUUUUAGGUUAGGAGGGGUGCAAACUUAAAUUUUCGCCGAGCAGAGCGAGGCUAAAAAAAAUUGAGGUAAAAUUAUCGGAAUAUUCUUUAUUAAGCUGAGAACAACCCAUGCUUUGCAAAUUUAAGGGGAGGGUGCAAGCCCACAACCCUCCCCCGUCUGAAUCGCCCCUGCAUAUAUUCAAGUAUAGGACAAUAUAAUAAAUAAAAAAUGAAAUAUAGGGGGAGUCCCUGGAGUUACCCCACCCCUCCUGUUUGAGAACUUGAAACGGUCGAGAUCCACACCCCUUAACCAUAUAUAUUCAUGUUUGUGACAAUAUGAAAAAUCAAAUGAAAUAUAGGAAGAGUCGCUAGGGGUCACCCCACCCCUCCUGUUUUAGAAUUUAAAAAUGGUUGAGAUCCCCACCCCUAAACCAUAUAUAUUCAUGUAUGGGACAAUAUAACAAAUCAGAUGAAAUAUAGGGGGAGUCCCUUAGGUCACCCCACCCCUCCUGUUUGAGAAUUUGAAACCCAUUGAGAUCGCCACCCCUUAACCAUAUAUAUCCAUGUACGGGACAAUAUAACAAUUCAAAUGAAAGAUAGGGGAGUCCCUGAGGUCACUUUUCACCCUCCUGUUUGAGAACUUGGAAAUGGUCAAGAUCCUUACCCCUAAACCAUAUAUACUCAUGUAUGGGAAAAUAUAACAAAUCAAAUGAAAUAUAGGGGAAGACAUUAGUCCCUGUGGUCAUCCCAACCCUCCUGUUUGAGAACUUGGAAACGGUCGAGAUCCCCACACCAAAACAAUAUAUAUUCAUGUAUGGGUCAAUAUAACUAAUUAAAUGAAAUAUAGGGAGAGUCCCUGGGGGUCACCCUACCCCUCCUGUUUGAGAACUUGGAAACCAAUGAGAUCCCCACCCCUAAACCAUAUAUAUUCAUGUAUGAGACAAUAUAACAAAUAAAAUGAAAUGUAGGGGAAGUCCCUAGGGUCAUCCUACCCUCAGUGGCGGAUCCAGAAAUUUUCAUAAGUGGGGCCCACUAACUGACAUAAGAGGGGCCCGCUCCAGUCACGCUUCAGUGAUUCCCUAUAUAAGCAACCAAAUUUUUUCCCAAAAAGGGGGGACAGGGCCCCUGCCCCCCUAAAUCCUCUGCCUACCCCUGUCUGUUUGAGAACUUGAAAACAGUUGAGAUCCCCAACCCUAAAUUAUAUAUAUUCAUAUGUAUGGGACAAAAUAACAUUUACAUUUACUAUGGGCAGGUCAGUCAGACCUCACCUUUGAUCCCUGUUGUAGUGAACAUUUGUCUGAUUCGUGUUUCAUAACUUUUGUACUAUAGAACACAAACUCAGUUUUCUUUCCAGGGAAACCAGUCCAUGCAUACUAUUACAUGUUCAUACCAAGUCAAAUUGAACUUCUAGCAGUCAAAUAAAACCAAGGUUAACUACCAAGUAGAACAACUGCAAUCAUUGGGAACUUGUACCACUGCAGACUCACCAUAAAAAAUAUACAUUGAUAUAUGCAUUGCUUUUGAAACCUUGAUAACAUAUAAAUUAUUUGCCUUAAAAAAUAAAUCAUUAGAUAAACAUGAAUGAACUAUAUAUGAAUGUUUAAUUUUGAGGCAACAUUGCCACAGUAUUCAUAAUUACGGUUACCUUGGUUUUUGGUUAACUGCCUUCAGCGCUUACAGCGCUUUGAUUCUU